This 1144-nucleotide long non-coding RNA is filed under the name Apteryx haastii (Great spotted kiwi). RNAcentral describes it as "lncRNA (ENSAHAG00000017235.1)". Lineage: Eukaryota; Metazoa; Chordata; Aves; Apterygiformes; Apterygidae. The record is from RNAcentral.
CGGCAUGACAUGGUGCAGCACAGCAUGGCAUGGUGCAGCACGGCCUGGCACGGUGCAGAAUGGCACAGUGCAGCGUGGCACAGCGCGGCGUGGCACUGCACGGCCCAGCUCCCCCUCGCUGGCGGGGGCUCCCAGCGGCUCCCCGCUGCAGCCUGCCCUUCCCGCAGGACAUCCCUGCCUGCUGCCACCGCUGCUGCCGCCGGGAGCCUGCCGCCACCGCUGCCCGGCGGCCCUGGCCGAGUCGGCGGCACCCGCACCCGAGACCUGCCCUGCACCGGCACCCGGACCCGCCGCCGGGUUGCACGGGGUGCGCGGGUCCCGCCGCGGUGCACGGGGGUCCCGAACGUGCGCACGCUUGUGCACGGCCCCCACCGCCCCACUGCCGGCGCCGGUGCAAGCAGCGCGUGGCGGCUCCGGGGCACCUGGGGGGGGGGCACCGGGGGGGGGCGGCGCGGGCUCCCCCUCGCCCGGCGCCCCUCGGAUUCGGCGAGAGGUCAGCGCAGCGCCCGAGUGCUUCGCCGCCUCCUGCUCCCGUUGCAGCCUCCCUUCUCCUUCCAUUUUCCUCCCUGACCUCCCCCCCCCCGUCCCCCCCUCCCCCGCUGUGAUUUUUGGAGGCUUUUUAGUGCUGGGAAGACAAAAAAAGCAGCAACAAAAAUCCUUUCAGGCUCCGCUUUGCUUUGCGGGGGGGGGGACUCUGCCGAGGUCCUUCCCCUCCGCUCGCUCGGGGCAGCCAGUCAAUUUAACCCUUUGGGGACAUUGCGUUAAAAAAAUUUUAACAAUAUUUAUUAAAAUACAAAAAUACACUUGUUUUUUCAGAGUACAGUCAGAUUGUUCUGGAGUUUAUAUAUAGAGAUAUAGAUAUAUAUAUAUAACUUUGCUUUUCCUUCCCUCCUUCCCCCCCCCCGUCUUUUUUUCGGUUUUUUUUGCUUUUUGUUUUUUUAGAUCUGACACCCUCGAAUAAUUUCUUUAAAGCUAAAAUAAGAAAUGAAAGUAGUUGCGGGGUGGGGGCGGCCCCCGCGCGGAGCCCUGCGCCCGCUGUCCGGCCGCGCAAGACGCCCCCGCGCGCGCGAUCCGGCUGCGCCCCCCCUGCCCCCCCCCAAAAUCCACGGCGAGGCGCCCAUCCCGCCCGGCGUUUCCCNNNNNN